Molecule: ribosomal RNA, 256 nt
Filed under: uncultured bacterium
Lineage: Bacteria
Description: partial 16S ribosomal RNA
Rfam family: Bacterial small subunit ribosomal RNA
Source: RNAcentral
UACGUAGGGGGCAAGCGUUGUCCGGAAUCAUUGGGCGUAAAGCGCGCGUAGGCGGCCCGGUAAGUCCGCUGUAAAAGUCCAGGGCUCAACCCUGGAAAGCCGGUGGAUACUGUCGGGCUAGAGUCCGGAAGAGGCGAGUGGAAUUCCUGGGUGUAGCGGUGGAAUGCGCAGAUAUCAGGAGGAACACCGAUGGCGAAGGCAGCUCGCUGGGACGGUGACUGACGCUGAGGCGCCGAAAGCGUGGGGAGCGAACAGG